Molecule: long non-coding RNA, 2059 nt
Organism: Bos taurus (domestic cattle)
Lineage: Eukaryota; Metazoa; Chordata; Mammalia; Artiodactyla; Bovidae
Source: Ensembl
ACAGCCCUGCUAACAUUGCACACCUGGUUAAGGCAGACAAGAACUGAAAUAUCUUUCUACCUGAAUUUGCAGGGCUGAGGGGGAGAAUCUUAAAAGCUCGAGUGUAAUGACCUUACAUGAGAAUUUGAACCCAAAAUGAAGAGUUAAAACUUGCCUCAUAAUAAAAGAUGGAUAAAGCCAUUAUUAUCAAAGAGAGGGUCUGCCAGGCACCGGGCUAGGGUAUGUCUUUGAGGUGGAGAGGAACGCUGCCUCCUAUAGCAUUAUUGAGGGUCCCAAGUACAGGGUGAUUUCUCUUCUGUGUAGACCCAAGCCGAAUCACUCCAGGAAUAUUGGCAAGAGCCGGUGGUGGGCUGCAGCAGUUGUGUGGAAGCGGUCAGUGACCCCAUAGAAAGAUGAGCUUUGGGCAAGCACAGACAGGAAGGGUGAAUGAACCCUGAUGGUUUAGCAAAGCAAGGGCCAGGUAGUUACAGUAAGAGGUGGUCUUGUCCCGUUCAGUGCUCUGUUAAUUAUCCAUGUGAGCAGGAAUUGUUUCUCUGGAGCAGUUACUGAUACAAACAGUUAAUGAAACUCCAUCUGUAUAGCGGCUUCCAAGUGGGAGUGCAGGCUGAAUUCAUUAGUUUCACAUGUUCAGUUUUUUUUUUUUUUUCUGAAGCCAGGAGAAAACCCACAGUCCAAACAAACAGCAUUUGUAAAGUUCUGAAAAGACACUGCUACUGGAAAUGAGGAGAUGGGGGGAAAAAUGAAUAAAUGCUUUCAAGCAAACGCUACUUUCUUUAAAAUGAAAAACAAUGGUAAAGGCUUCCAUAUGUAAUUAAAAUCUCAUCCUUGAAGUUACAUUGCCACUGGCUCCCAAAGAACUCAAUUAACAGGAAACUGCAAAGAAUAUGGUAUUUUCUUCAAGAUACUUUAAGAAGUACUACUAAGAAGACAAUAGGUUGGAGAGUAGCUUUUACCACUAAAUGAUAAGCAAUUAUUGUUCCUUCCAGGGUAGAAGAAAAGGGAGUAUGCUAAGAAAAGUAGGUUUAUAAUAUAAAAUUAGAUUUUCAAGUGUGCAUAUUUACCCCUAGACCUAAGCUGAAAAUGAAACGUUUGUGCAAAGUCCAAACUUGACUAAGAAAAUUCUUUAAAAAUAUACCACAACCCCUCCCCUCCCCCACCAUUCAGCCUAUUUCACCUGAGAAAGGAAAGGCAUUCCCUACAUGCGCACUCGACUGAGGUCUCCUUGUUCAGAGACUUUCUUAAAACUGAAGAUGGAACGCAGUCCUGAGGACCACCUCGCUCCUCAAAGUCAGUUUCUAGGAGCCCUGGAUACUAUUUAAUUUCAAAGUAUUGAAUGAGGCUUCCAUGCAGACAUGUUGAACUGCAAGAUUCCACUCCUGACGCCAGAAUUUGUCAAGAGGACCGCAUUGUUGUUUCUCACUGAGGCAUAGGACUGACUGCGGGCCAUUGUUUCUCCAGCUCAAGUGGGCCUGUCUGGUUCGUGUUGGAAGAAUAGGGGCGACAUGCGUGAGUUCCCAAGUAUAAAGGAACUACCGGUUCUAGAAAGACACGGGAGUUUAGCCACUAAUGCAGAGUAAAUAAACAUUUUUCACCACCUCUUGCUCCCUGUGAUUUUUUUUUUUAAAGGUCAAGAGCUGCCAUUACAGUAUUUUAAAAGCUUCAAAUUAUGUUUAAAGCACGUAUCACUAAACUCACAGAAACCUUAUCAGAAUUUGGGAACCCACUGUGAUUGUUUGGUCCUUGAGUUUUAUCAUCACUGGAAGGCAGACUGUAAAAGGAAUGCAGAUGCCCUGUCGCUUCUAAUAUCCUGCAAUUUGCACAAAGUGAAUGUGGCUCAAGCCCUUCCACAUUUCCCUCAAAAUACUGCAAGUAUGGAGACUGGUCAGUUUCAAAUCUUCCUAAGGUCCAUGUUGCAGGUCACACAUUCUAGACAGAUAAGAGUAAGCCUUUGGGAACCUUUCAUGAUGAGCAUGUUCAAAAUGCAAAGAACGGGUCAUGUUCCUGGAAAAUCUCCAACUGUGUGUGCGAAAGAGAGAGUAAAAGGCAGAGGGAGAUUUCU